AGAUUGAACGCUGGCGGCAUGCCUAACACAUGCAAGUCGAACGGCAGCAUGUUUUGUAGCAAUACAAGAUGAUGGCGAGUGGCGGACGGGUGCGUAAUACAUAGGGAUCUACCUUGAAGAGGGGGAUAACCCGGGGAAACUCGGGCUAAUACCGCAUAUUACUCUGAGGAGGAAAAGCUUGGGCAACCAGGCGCUUUAAGCGGAACCUAUGUCCGAUUAGCUAGUUGGUGAGGUAACGGCUCACCAAGGCGAUGAUCGGUAGC
Molecule: ribosomal RNA, 263 nt
Filed under: uncultured bacterium
Lineage: Bacteria
Description: partial small subunit ribosomal RNA
Rfam family: Bacterial small subunit ribosomal RNA
Source: RNAcentral